Molecule: ribosomal RNA, 447 nt
Filed under: uncultured bacterium
Lineage: Bacteria
Description: bacterial SSU rRNA
Rfam family: Bacterial small subunit ribosomal RNA
Source: RNAcentral
GCCUACGGGAGGCAGCAAUUAGGAAUCUUGCACAAUGGGGGAAACCCUGAUGCAGCGACGCCGCGUGAAGGAUGAAGGCCUUCGGGUUGUAAACUUCUUUUAAGAGGGAAGAAGAAUGUGACGGUACCUCUUGAAUAAGCCCCGGCUAACUACGUGCCAGCAGCCGCGGUAAUACGUAGGGGGCGAGCGUUGUCCGAAGUCACUGGGCGUAAAGCGCGCGUAGGCGGACUAUUAAGUUGGUUGUGAAAUCUCCACGGCUCAACCGGGAAACUGCAUCCAAAACUGGUAGUCUUGAGGUAUGGAGAGGGAAGUGGAAUUCCUGGUGUAGCGGUGAAAUGCGUAGAUAUCAGGAGGAACACCCGUGGCGAAGGCGGCUUCCUGGCCAUAUCCUGACGCUGAGGUGCGAAAGCCAGGGGAGCGAACGGGAUUAGAUACCCGAGUAGUCGU